GCGGUCGUGGCGGAAUGGUAGACGCGCAGCGUUGAGGGCGCUGUGAUGGCAACAUCAUGGAAGUUCGAGUCUUCUCGACCGCA
Molecule: transfer RNA, 83 nt
Filed under: Alphaproteobacteria bacterium
Lineage: Bacteria; Pseudomonadati; Pseudomonadota; Alphaproteobacteria
Description: tRNA-Leu
Rfam family: tRNA
About the family: Transfer RNA (tRNA) molecules are approximately 80 nucleotides in length. Their secondary structure includes four short double-helical elements and three loops (D, anti-codon, and T loops). Further hydrogen bonds mediate the characteristic L-shaped molecular structure. tRNAs have two regions of fundamental functional importance: the anti-codon, which is responsible for specific mRNA codon recognition, and the 3' end, to which the tRNAs corresponding amino acid is attached (by aminoacyl-tRNA synthetases). tRNAs cope with the degeneracy of the genetic code in two manners: having more than one tRNA (with a specific anti-codon) for a particular amino acid; and 'wobble' base-pairing, i.e. permitting non-standard base-pairing at the 3rd anti-codon position.
Source: RNAcentral